This is a long non-coding RNA of Nilaparvata lugens (brown planthopper), 224 nucleotides long. RefSeq lists it as uncharacterized. NCBI's taxonomy places the organism in Eukaryota, Metazoa, Arthropoda, Insecta, Hemiptera, Delphacidae. The transcript has 3 exons. The record is from RefSeq and is a predicted model, not a curated record.
AAAAGGUUUGAUUAUUAUUGUUUUAUAUAAUGAGUUACAGUUCCACUACUUUGUUCAUUUUUAUCACUUGAUAAUAUACACUUUAAUCAAAGGGAAAGGAAUCUUUCUAAUCAUGAGUGCCUACUCAAAAAAGCAUAUAAAAGGAUGGAAAAGAUUCCUUGUAAGUGAAGAACAGAGGAACAAGGUGAAAGCAGCUCAGGAAAUAUUGCAGCACAUAAAUAAAC